Molecule: ribosomal RNA, 906 nt
Filed under: uncultured bacterium
Lineage: Bacteria
Description: bacterial SSU rRNA
Rfam family: Bacterial small subunit ribosomal RNA
Source: RNAcentral
CACAUGCAGUCGAACGGAGCUGAGAGGAGCUUGCUUUUCUUAGCUUAGUGGCGAACGGGUGAGUAACGCGUGAGUAACCUGCCCUGGAGUGGGGGACAACAGUUGGAAACGACUGCUAAUACCGCAUAAGCCCACGGCCCGGCAUCGGGCUGAGGGAAAAGGAUUUAUUCGCUUCAGGAUGGACUCGCGUCCAAUUAGCUAGUUGGUGAGGUAACGGCCCACCAAGGCGACGAUUGGUAGCCGGACUGAGAGGUUGAACGGCCACAUUGGGACUGAGACACGGCCCAGACUCCUACGGGAGGCAGCAGUGGGGGAUAUUGCACAAUGGGGGAAACCCUGAUGCAGCGACGCCGCGUGGAGGAAGAAGGUUUUCGGAUUGUAAACUCCUGUCGUUAGGGACGAUAAUGACGGUACCUAACAAGAAAGCACCGGCUAACUACGUGCCAGCAGCCGCGGUAAAACGUAGGGUGCAAGCGUUGUCCGGAAUUACUGGGUGUAAAGGGAGCGCAGGCGGACCGGCAAGUUGGAAGUGAAAACUAUGGGCUCAACCCAUAAAUUGCUUUCAAAACUGCUGGCCUUGAGUAGUGCAGAGGUAGGUGGAAUUCCCGGUGUAGCGGUGGAAUGCGUAGAUAUCGGGAGGAACACCAGUGGCGAAGGCGACCUACUGGGCACCAACUGACGCUGAGGCUCGAAAGCAUGGGUAGCAAACAGGAUUAGAUACCCUGGUAGUCCAUGCCGUAAACGAUGAUUACUAGGUGUUGGAGGAUUGACCCCUUCAGUGCCGCAGUUAACACAAUAAGUAAUCCACCUGGGGAGUACGACCGCAAGGUUGAAACUCAAAGGAAUUGACGGGGGCCCGCACAAGCAGUGGAGUAUGUGGUUUAAUUCGAAGCAACGCGAAGAACC